CUCCCAGUGAUCAAUUCGCGAGGUUAACAAAUUUGGCGAUAGGAGACGAGCCAAAUAUAACUACUGAAUUAUCUAGGUUAUCUGCUGGGACGUUAUAUUGAUUAUAUUAUUUAUUUCUUAAUAAUUGAAAAUCAAAAAGGAAGAAAGAAAGAAAAUUGUAAUUGAAAUCCACACCUCCCUUCCCCUGGUUAUUGCCAUCCCCCGAUAAACAUACUAUUCAAGACUAUUAAAGUAGAAAUUAUUUUGUCAAAAUACACCCCACCCCCUCUUACACAUCCUGUGCAUAUUCUGGCUGACAGAUAAAGUUGAUAAGUUCCCGAUGUGUAAUCACUGUCAGACUUUUUUUAUUUACUUCAUGUGACUUGUCUGCUUUUAACAGCCGAACCAGUCCCACCCAAUGCCAAACUACGGCAUAUAUAAACGCCCUGAUAUAUAUAUCAAAUUAAGCAGUUAAACCAAGGAUUUUUAUACUAAUCAUUGGUUUAACAUGUAAUUGAAAAAUAUCUAUAAUCUAGGAC
RNAcentral lists this long non-coding RNA (518 nucleotides) under Mytilus galloprovincialis (Mediterranean mussel). The record is from RNAcentral. Lineage: Eukaryota; Metazoa; Mollusca; Bivalvia; Mytilida; Mytilidae.